Molecule: ribosomal RNA, 301 nt
Filed under: uncultured bacterium
Lineage: Bacteria
Description: partial 16S ribosomal RNA
Rfam family: Bacterial small subunit ribosomal RNA
Source: RNAcentral
CAGCCGCCGCGGUAAUACGAAGGGGGCUAGCGUUGCUCGGAAUGACUGGGCGUAAAGGGCACGUAGGCGGUUUGUACAGUUGGACGUGAAAUUCCUGGGCUUAACCUGGGGGCUGCAUUCAAUACGUGCAGGCUUGAGUGUGGAAGAGGGUUGUGGAAUUCCCAGUGUAGAGGUGAAAUUCGUAGAUAUUGGGAAGAACACCGGUGGCGAAGGCGGCAACCUGGUCCAUAACUGACGCUGAGGCGCGAAAGCGUGGGGAGCAAACAGGAUUAGAUACCCCAGUAGUCCCUGUCUCUUAUAC